AGGCUAUGGGUCUGCUUGGUGAAGAUGCCACUCUGUCACAGUGGAGAAGAUGAGUUCAAAUCUCAUAUAGCCUG
RNAcentral lists this transfer RNA (74 nucleotides) under Crassvirales sp. Its description in RNAcentral is "tRNA-Asp". It matches the Rfam family "tRNA". Rfam says of the family: Transfer RNA (tRNA) molecules are approximately 80 nucleotides in length. Their secondary structure includes four short double-helical elements and three loops (D, anti-codon, and T loops). The record is from RNAcentral. Lineage: Duplodnaviria; Heunggongvirae; Uroviricota; Caudoviricetes; Crassvirales.